Molecule: ribosomal RNA, 433 nt
Filed under: uncultured bacterium
Lineage: Bacteria
Description: partial 16S ribosomal RNA
Rfam family: Bacterial small subunit ribosomal RNA
Source: RNAcentral
AGCGAACGCUGGCGGCAGGCCUAACACAUGCAAGUCGAACGAACUCUUCGGAGUUAGUGGCGGACGGGUGAGUAACACGUGGGAACGUGCCUUUUGGUUCGGAAUAACUCAGGGAAACUUGUGCUAAUACCGAAUGUGCCCUUAGGGGGAAAGAUUUAUCGCCAUUUGAGCGGCCCGCGUCUGAUUAGCUAGUUGGUGAGGUAACGGCUCACCAAGGCGACGAUCAGUAGCUGGUCUGAGAGGAUGACCAGCCACACUGGGACUGAGACACGGCCCAGACUCCUACGGGAGGCAGCAGUGGGGAAUCUUGCGCAAUGGGCGAAAGCCUGACGCAGCCAUGCCGCGUGAAUGAUGAAGGUCUUAGGAUUGUAAAAUUCUUUCACCGGGGACGAUAAUGACGGUACCCGGAGAAGAAGCCCCGGCUAACUUCGUG